This 483-nucleotide ribosomal RNA is filed under the name uncultured bacterium. RNAcentral's name for it is "partial 16S ribosomal RNA". It matches the Rfam family "Bacterial small subunit ribosomal RNA", at positions 28 to 523 of the family's 1533-position model. The record is from RNAcentral.
GACGAACGCUGGCGGCGUGCUUAACACAUGCAAGUCGAACGGUGAAAGCGGAGCUUGCUCCGCUGGAUCAGUGGCGAACGGGUGAGUAACACGUGGGCAACCUGCCCCUCACUUCGGGAUAACUCCGGGAAACCGGGGCUAAUACCGGAUAUGACCUCCUUGGGCAUCCUUGGAGGUGGAAAGUUUUUCGGUGAGGGAUGGGCCCGCGGCCUAUCAGCUUGUUGGUGAGGUAGUGGCUCACCAAGGCGACGACGGGUAGCCGGCCUGAGAGGGCGACCGGCCACACUGGGACUGAGACACGGCCCAGACUCCUACGGGAGGCAGCAGUGGGGAAUAUUGCGCAAUGGGCGAAAGCCUGACGCAGCAACGCCGCGUGCGGGAUGACGGCCUUCGGGUUGUAAACCGCUUUCAGCAGGGAAGAAGCGAAAGUGACGGUACCUGAAGAAGAAGCACCGGCCAACUAUGUGCCAGCAGCCGCCGUAA